Molecule: ribosomal RNA, 38 nt
Filed under: Chesneya sp. US:3540374
Lineage: Eukaryota; Viridiplantae; Streptophyta; Magnoliopsida; Fabales; Fabaceae
Description: partial 26S ribosomal RNA
Source: RNAcentral
GAGACCUCAGGUCAGGCGGGACUACCCGCUGAGUUUAA